This 253-nucleotide ribosomal RNA is filed under the name uncultured bacterium. Its description in RNAcentral is "partial 16S ribosomal RNA". It matches the Rfam family "Bacterial small subunit ribosomal RNA", at positions 524 to 776 of the family's 1533-position model. The record is from RNAcentral.
UACGGAGGGUGCAAGCGUUAUCCGGAUUUACUGGGUUUAAAGGGUGCGUAGGCGGGCCAUUAAGUCAGUGGUGAAAGCUCUGAGCUUAACUCGGAAACUGCCAUUGAUACUAUUGGUCUUGAAUUCGGUCGAGGUUGGCGGAAUGUGUCGUGUAGCGGUGAAAUGCUUAGAUAUGACACAGAACACCGAUUGCGAAGGCAGCUAGCUAGACCGACAUUGACGCUGAGGCACGAAAGCGUGGGGAGCAAACAGG